RNAcentral lists this ribosomal RNA (253 nucleotides) under uncultured bacterium. RNAcentral's name for it is "partial 16S ribosomal RNA". It matches the Rfam family "Bacterial small subunit ribosomal RNA", at positions 524 to 776 of the family's 1533-position model. The record is from RNAcentral.
UACGUAGGGUGCAAGCGUUGUCCGGAAUUAUUGGGCGUAAAGAGCUCGUAGGCGGUUUGUUGCGUCGGCUGUGAAAUCCCGAGGCUCAACCUCGGGUCUGCAGUCGAUACGAGCAAACUAGAGUGUUGCAGGGGAGACUGGAAUUACUGGUGUAGCGGUGAAAUGCGCAGAUAUCAGGAGGAACACCGGUGGCGAAGGCGGGUCUCUGGGCAACUACUGACGCUGAGGAGCGAAAGCGUGGGGAGCGAACAGG